This is a long non-coding RNA of Phascolarctos cinereus (koala), 2698 nucleotides long. RefSeq lists it as uncharacterized. Lineage: Eukaryota; Metazoa; Chordata; Mammalia; Diprotodontia; Phascolarctidae. The record is from RefSeq and is a predicted model, not a curated record.
UAAAACAGGUGAAAGUGUUGAAACUAAGAGGAAGGAGGGUGCCCAGCCUUUAACUUCGAAAGGCCGAUGCAUCCCUGGGGGGAGGGGAAGAGGAGGAAAUAAGGAAACCAGCAAAGGAAAUAAAAAAUAACACGGACUUAGCAACCCUUUAUGCCUUAAGAUUUUUUUUUAAUCUUGCGCGAAUGAUUGUAUCACAUAAGUAAAAGUAAGGGACGUUUUAAAAUGUUACAUUUAAUUUUUUUUUUGCAUUCGGAAGCUACAGGAGUUAUUAAAACACCUACUCAUUACCAGCCUAGUCUCCUGUAAGCAACAUUUAAAAUGCAUGAGUGGUUGGGGGUUUCUCCCUGCCUAAGCGCCAAUGCAAUGGUAAAAAGAAACCUGGGAUGGUCUUUUAGGGAUGAGAAAUCUAAACGAGGAAAUAAAACAAUAGCCUUUGUUCUUCUUGACUGCUGCCUCUUUAAGAGAAUCUACCAGGAAAUGGGAGAUCAGGUUGCAAACUGAACACAGGGAAAUCUGGAGAGAGCCCGGGAGGGACAUUGGAGACAAAAGCAUAGGAGGUUGAGCCAGAAUGAUGGAUUAGGAAGAUAAAGUGAGCUAGAAGAUAAAACCAGAAAGAUUUUUUUUUCUAGGAAAAUAGGAAAGGAAAGACGUAGGUUGUGUUGAAUUCAGAGUACUGGGGGAGGGGACCACUCUAACGAAAACUGCAUUCAAGAGAAGGAAAGAGUAGACAGUUAUCAAAGGCAGUUUAGUUCCCGUUCCUUUUCCUCAACCUCCUCCCCCUUUUGAAAUGAAUUGCAUUCAUUGAGUGCUGUCCUUUUAAAGAAACAGCUACUUCCUAACAACUGAAAUUUGCUGCUUGACUACAAAGUUAGCAGGAUGUGUUCAUGUAGAUAAGAAAGAAGGAAAAAGGAAACACAAUUCUAGAGGAACUGAUCUUAAAAAAAAAACAAACCCUCUACCAUUAGAAUUUUCUUUAGAAUCUUAAGUAUUAACAAUUGAGGCACCAAGAUAAUUCUAUAGAAGCCUGCUGAAGAUUUCGUUUUUCCAGGUAAUUAGUGACCAGACCAGGAAGCAGUUCCUGAAGAUUACUAGACUACCAGGGAUGGAUGUCUGAAUUGUUGUGAGCCCAGUAGAAGAAAAUGGCAUAUACUACAGUCUGGGAACUGCUAAAGAUGAAUGUCUGUGCCUAUGAAAAAGUUUUGGGGAGGACCUUGACCUGGCCUAAGAUAGGCAUCCUGACUCUAUUUCCCCAUUGUGCUCCUUUCUUUUCUGAAAAGGAAAUUUCCCCUCCUGAUUAAUCUUGAGCCUUGCUUUUAACACCUGUGACUACUUGAUUGGAUGUCAGAUAAGACUCAUGCCUGGAAUCAAACAGAGCUGAGGAAGGUUUUCCCUCUGUUAUGAUAUAUGUCAUUGUUAUAACUAUAUCCCUCUUUUUCCUUUUAUGGCAAAUUUCUAUAAUCAAGAAGUUUCGUAAGUACAAUAUUAAAUCUAUUAAAUAGUAGAUUGAUACUGGAACAUCUCUCAGUUACUAUAAUAGGAUGCAGUUAUGAGCAUGACACUAUUUUAAACUGUAUUUGUGGUCAAAUUAUAAUACAGGGUGCUAUCCUCCUAAGGGGAAAAAGAUUAGACAAAGUAGUAAGACAAAGAUGUACUGUGAAAGUUUUCUAAAUAAAUGGAAAAGUAAAAUUUGAGAAAGCAACAGGAUUAGACUGUUUUCUCUAAGGACUGUAUACAUAUGUAUGUGAUUGGCUUCCAAAUAUAUGUCAUAGAAAUUCUCAAAAUUGGAUUAAUCCUUAAUUAGAUUAGUUAGUUAACUAAUUUAAUUAAUGUAAUUAAUUAAAUUAAAAAUUUAAUUUAAUUCCUAAAGUUUAUAUUUACCACCUUAACCCCUGAGCUCACCAACUUUAGGCUACAGCUGUCCCUCAGCUCAGUAUCUUAUCCUGGCCUCUUGCGGCAUCUUGGUUUAUACCUGCCUCUGCUUUAUUGGCCAGAAUGGGAGGAGUUCUUUCAGAUACCCUCCCUUUGACCAAAAGGGAAAUGGGGGGGAUCCUCAUGCCAAGACCACCCCUCUCCUUUUAUUCUUCUCUUUUUACUGUUAGGAGACGCCCUGUUUUCCAGAGCUAAGUGCCAGUGAGCAAGCUGUGCCCUGAGCUUGGAUCAGCAAUCCUUUGUGUCUCACCCCCUGGAUGAUCUCAGCUACUGCAAAAUCCCAGAAUUGUUUCAUACCAUCAUCAGGUGAUCCCUGAGCUUGGACAAGCAUCUGUAGUGCCUAUGUUCUGGUCGUGAAGUCCUGCUAUGAUUCAAACUUGUCUCGUUGUUGCUGUUCUCCCUUCACUGUCAGGGCUACAGCUCACUUCGUAGCCAAUGGUAUCACUAUUGAGAUUUGUGCACACUAAAGUCGGUGUCCUACUGGGGCGGGGUUGGCACAUAUGUGUCUAGUUUCUCUCCUUCAAUAGAAUAAAGAAAGCUUUUUGCUUAUAAUCACUGUUAGCUCUUCAGUUUUAUUUUAUUUUAUUGUUAGAGUUAACUGGUUUUAAUAACCUGUGUGAGCUCUCUGAUUGUUUUUUAGAAUUAAUAGCAGUUGCACAGCUGCUGUGGCUCUUUGGUCAUUUGGUCAGGGUUGACAGUAUCUUCAUAGCUAAGAUGGAAGUAUAUGAGAUGGAUGUGGGGUGGUAGACCACAGUUAGGUGAAUUCAAA